AGUGAACGCUGGCGGUAUGCCUAACACAUGCAAGUCGAACGGCAGCACAUUAAGAGCUUGCUAUUACGGGUGGCGAGUGGCGGACGGGUGAGGCAUACAUCGGAAUCUACUUUUUCGUGGGGGAUAACUUAGGGAAACUUACGCUACUACAUCAUACGACCUACCGUUGAAAUCAGGUUUUAUUCGUACCUUGCGCGCUUGCAUGAGCCGAUGUCGGAUUUGCUAGUUGGCGGGGUAAAGGCCCACCAAGGCGACAUUCCGUAGCUGGUCUGCGAGGAUGAUCGGCAAAACUGGAACUGGAAAACGGUCCAGACUCCUACGGGAGGAAGCAGAGGGGAAUAUUGGACAAUGAGCGAAAGCCGGAUCAAGAAAGACCGCGGGGGUGAAGAAGGCCUUCGGGUGGAAAAGCCCUUUUGUAGGGAAAGAAAAGCAGCAGGGUAAUAACCCGCUGUACUGACGGUAACUAAAGAAUAAGCAACGGCUAACUUCGUG
RNAcentral lists this ribosomal RNA (492 nucleotides) under uncultured bacterium. RNAcentral describes it as "partial 16S ribosomal RNA". It matches the Rfam family "Bacterial small subunit ribosomal RNA", at positions 29 to 507 of the family's 1533-position model. The record is from RNAcentral.